UUAUUUUGUUCAUCAGUGAAUGAAAACGGUUAUUAUCCAGAUAUGAAUUCAGCUUAUGAUCCUGAAUUUAUAUUGUUAAAGCAGUCAAUGAUAUUAUUUCAGAGUUAUAACUGACUUAGCAAAGUCACGUUAUUUAUUUAAGCGAGAUGAAAUUUGAUUUUAUUUUUUUUACUCAGGUAGUAAAUUAUUUCCGACUCAAGAAGUUAAUUAAAUCUGCGGAUUUAAUUUAGAUAUCAGAUCAAUGAACGAAUUAAAUCUACGGAUUUAAUUUAGAUUCAUUUUAUAACUUAUUGUUUUUAGUGAGAUAUCACAUGUCGAAAUACGAGAUUUAUUUAAAUAAACAGUACCAAGCAAAUAUGAGCACGCGAUCCACUUUACAGUUACAGAAUCACCGAGACAGAGAAAAUACAUCAUUUAUCUUAUACUACAUUUUUUUAUUCUUCCUUUUUCUUUCCACUACCUUUGCUCCCCACUUCUUGCCUACCACUAUACUUUGCCAAUCCUCUAUUAAUCAUCACCCCACCAUUUUGUUGUUCCACCUGCAAUUAUCGAAGGAAGACUUCAAUUAUUGCUGCCAAAUCCUUAAGCCAUUCCAGUUCAUAUAACUCAAGCAACAACCAAGCAGUUGAAAACAAGUGAGGUCAAGCACGAGAUUAAUAAUCAGUCAAGGAGCUACUGUACCACAAAAAGUUUCUAACAGGUGGG
This is a long non-coding RNA of Salvia miltiorrhiza (redroot sage), 705 nucleotides long. RefSeq lists it as uncharacterized. NCBI's taxonomy places the organism in Eukaryota, Viridiplantae, Streptophyta, Magnoliopsida, Lamiales, Lamiaceae. The record is from RefSeq and is a predicted model, not a curated record. The transcript is spliced from 3 exons.